This 148-nucleotide small RNA is filed under the name Arabidopsis thaliana (thale cress). RNAcentral's name for it is "ATSL031450". The record is from RNAcentral. Lineage: Eukaryota; Viridiplantae; Streptophyta; Magnoliopsida; Brassicales; Brassicaceae.
AUAAAUAAUAUCAUGAAUUUUAAAGGGUUACAAUGCAAAUAUAGAAUUCUAGAGAGACCAGUUGACCUCCUUUAAUCUUAUUUGGGUCUGCCUAUGCGGGGGACCCAUAAAUACUUUUGACAGUAUCAAAAUCUAACUUCAAAAUAAU